Molecule: non-coding RNA, 85 nt
Organism: Alligator sinensis (Chinese alligator)
Lineage: Eukaryota; Metazoa; Chordata; Crocodylia; Alligatoridae
Source: Rfam
UGUGUGUGGUGGGAAGGCAGUGUACUGUUAGCUGGUUGAAAAAACUGACACCAGCUAACAUGCAGCUGCUAUCCUACUGCACAAA